CACCGCCCGUCACACCAUGAAAGUCGGUUCUACCAGAAGUCACUGAGCUGACCGCAAGGAGGCAGGUGCCCAAGGUAGGGUCGAUGAUUGGGGUG
Molecule: ribosomal RNA, 95 nt
Filed under: uncultured bacterium
Lineage: Bacteria
Description: partial 16S ribosomal RNA
Rfam family: Bacterial small subunit ribosomal RNA
Source: RNAcentral